UACGGAGGGGGCUAGCGUUGUUCGGAAUUACUGGGCGUAAAGCGCACGUAGGCGGCUUUGUAAGUUAGAGGUGAAAGCCCAGGGCUCAACCCUGGAAUUGCCUUUAAGACUGCAUCGCUUGAAUCAUGGAGAGGUGAGUGGAAUUCCGAGUGUAGAGGUGAAAUUCGUAGAUAUUCGGAAGAACACCAGUGGCGAAGGCGGCUACCUGGACCGGUUCUGACGCUGAUGCGCGAAAGCGUGGGUAGCAAACAGG
This 253-nucleotide ribosomal RNA is filed under the name uncultured bacterium. RNAcentral's name for it is "partial 16S ribosomal RNA". It matches the Rfam family "Bacterial small subunit ribosomal RNA", at positions 524 to 776 of the family's 1533-position model. The record is from RNAcentral.